GGAGGGCUUCCUCUGGUUAGUGACCCUGGAGCUGCAGCACAGGCCCUUUUCAGACGGCAGGGUUUCGCUGAGCUCACCUGGAUAAUUCAGGCUCAAUAUCCAUCCCCCAACAUCCACACAUCAUCACAUGUGUAAAAUACUUCCAGCCUGAUAAAAAUGUAUUUACAAUUUCUGGGGAUUAUGGUCUGGACAUCUCUGGAGAUCAUUAUUUUGUCAACCUCCAUAGCACCAGCAGGCCCUCUGCAGUCAGCCCAGAUUCAGCAGAGAGCCCUGCACCAGCAAGAAGGCCUUCACCAGAUGCUGCUUCUCAGCCUUGAACUUUCCAGCCUUCAGAACCAUGAGCCAA
Heterocephalus glaber (naked mole-rat) is the source of this 346-nucleotide long non-coding RNA. RefSeq lists it as uncharacterized. Lineage: Eukaryota; Metazoa; Chordata; Mammalia; Rodentia; Bathyergidae. The record is from RefSeq and is a predicted model, not a curated record.